CAGUCGCCACGGGAACACGAAGGGGGCUAGCGUUGUUCGGAAUUACUGGGCGUAAAGCGCACGUAGGCGGAUAUUUAAGUCAGGGGUGAAAUCCCGCAGCUCAACUGCGGAACUGCCUUUGAUACUGGGUAUCUUGAGUAUGGAAGAGGUUAGUGGAAUUGCGAGUGUAGAGGUGAAAUUCGUAGAUAUUCGCAGGAACACCAGUGGCGAAGGCGGCUAACUGGUCCAUAACUGACGCUGAGGUGCGAAAGCGUGGGGAGCAAACAGGAUUAGAUACCCGGGUAGUCCCUGUCUCUUAUAC
RNAcentral lists this ribosomal RNA (301 nucleotides) under uncultured bacterium. RNAcentral's name for it is "partial 16S ribosomal RNA". It matches the Rfam family "Bacterial small subunit ribosomal RNA", at positions 509 to 807 of the family's 1533-position model. The record is from RNAcentral.